CCAGUGGUGGGUUGCCCCUGGUUCGAACCGGUUUUAUAGAACCAGUAGUAAAACCAGUGGGAGGCUCCGCCCACCACCCCCGAUGUCAUCAAAACGCUUCUGCGCUUGCACAGAAGAGCGUGCAUGCGGCCUCACUGCAAACUGGUAGUAAAGUGACAUCUCGGCAGCUCUAUUUGUUGAACGGGAGCAAGUCACAGCUCUCCAAUCAAGCAGUUUACCCACUUCUCUGCAAAAUCUUAGUGAAGUUUAUUUGCUUUUGGCUUCAGGUGCUACAUGAACCUAGCAGUGAUGACUUAUAUAAAAGUGGAUUGAAUUCAGUUUUCCACAGAAACCUUGCUCUGCUAUUGAAGUAAUAGAUGUGUCUUAAUUUUCUUUGCUCUAAUUGUAUAUUUUUUUUCUUAACCAACUUGUUUGAUGAACAGUUCCAGAAGCUUUCCAUUGCCUUUUCUGUUAGCCAGAUAAAGUUAUUACCUGAAUAAAAUUUGAAUUUGUUCUUA
Long non-coding RNA from Pantherophis guttatus, 497 nucleotides. RefSeq lists it as uncharacterized. NCBI's taxonomy places the organism in Eukaryota, Metazoa, Chordata, Lepidosauria, Squamata, Colubridae. The record is from RefSeq and is a predicted model, not a curated record.